AUAUGACUACAGCAAAAUAUAAGUAAUUAAAUAUUUUUUAAACGUAUAUUUUUUUCUCAAUAACUACAAAGUACACUACAAAUAAAAUAAAAUUUUGAUCUCCCCAAUUCACCAACUGAAUCAAAUUUGCUUUCAGAAAAGAUGUUUCACUCGAUUAUCGGAGUAAGAUUUCUGGUAGAAAAUUUCUCCACCAAUACAAACAAAAUAAUAAAUAAUAAGUAAAUCCAAUCUUUGCUCUAUCUAAGAAUUUGAAUUGGAGGUCGAUCAGGUACCGCCACAUCCGUUUUUUUCUCAAACAACAAUGUAAGGAGUACGGCUUCAUACUAAUGUGAGACAUAUACGAGUAGAUAAUCAAGGAAAAAUAAGACGAAUGAGAGAAUAUGAUGUGUUGACGUUCUAAAAACGUGUUGUUGGAGAAAGGUGCAGAGAGCAAGCUGGACUGAAAGAAGAACAAUCGAGGACGUCUCAGAGACAGUAGAAGAAAACCGAACAUAAAUAGCACAGCUUAAUCAAGCAGAUCAAGAGAGUGACCGAGAACGAGAUACAUCAACCAAUCAAUGAAGGACGCUGGAGUUACUUCUUGCGAGGAGCUCAAGGAUAUGGCACAAAACAUGGAAAUACGGAUAAAUUGUAAAUAAAUUCGUUAUAAGUCGAUGUUCGGGCUGAAAAUAAAUAAACGGAUUUACCCGGUCAAAUACGCGUUUUUCAUUGCGCUACACGACAAUGAUACCUAUGAUAUGGCGUUUAUGUGCAUCAUUAUUGAUCUUAAAAUUCGACUUUGUGGCACGAUUAAGUUCCACAUUUUUGUAAAAAAAAAAAAUAAUAAUAAUAAUUCCUAUA
This is a non-coding RNA of Cinara cedri, 840 nucleotides long. The record is from the annotation of a GenBank genome assembly. Lineage: Eukaryota; Metazoa; Arthropoda; Insecta; Hemiptera; Aphididae.